Pteropus alecto (black flying fox) is the source of this 3524-nucleotide long non-coding RNA. RefSeq lists it as uncharacterized. NCBI's taxonomy places the organism in Eukaryota, Metazoa, Chordata, Mammalia, Chiroptera, Pteropodidae. The record is from RefSeq and is a predicted model, not a curated record. The transcript is spliced from 3 exons.
GCCCCGUGCCUUGUGUUGCAGUUCGGGGCUGAGUUCCGGAGGUUCUCCUUGGACCGGCAGAGGCCUGGGAAGUUCGAGGACUUCUACAAGCUGGUCGUGCACACUCACCACAUCGCCAACACCGAGGUGACGAUCGGCUACGCAGACGUGCACGGCGACCUGCUGCCCAUCAACAACGACGACAACUUCUGCAAGGCGGUGUCCAGCGCGAACCCGCUGCUCAGGGUGUUCAUCCAGAAACGAGCUGCGCGAAUUAACGGCGCCCUCCACUGUCACGUCCCUAGCACGGCACCUGCACACGAUGAAGACGUUUGGAACUCGUGCACUUCACCCGAGGAAGCACCUUUGCCAGCGGCUCCAGGACCCCUUUCAGGUUUUGCUAAUGGCAUUAACGGGGACAGCAAAAACACAUCUUUCUACGACUGGACCUGUCAUCUAAUUCGAUAUAAGCUUCGAUAGGCAGACAAACGUAGAUGGCACAUUCCCAGGGAAAUUCGGUCCAGAGAUGCUUUACUGCUUUAGCAAGAAAGGUCAGUAGUAUUACCUGUACAGUGAACUUUUUAUAAAAUAAUUUUGCUGAUAAUCUUGUAUGCACAGAAAUUGUGUUUUAUUUUUAAUGAGGAAUGGGGUAUUUACGUACUCUCAAAGUACCUUCCCACAGAGUUAUUAAUUAAAGAGGAAAAGAGUCAUUUCACUGAGAAGCCAGGCAGACAGCAUCUUAAUCAAGUGAUUAAAGUGAACAUCAGUAAUGGGACAAAUCAAAAUUAUGCAUCACCGGACUGGAUGCAACAAAUAGUAUUUCAAUGGUGAGAAACCCUAUUGGAAGAAUAUAACAUUACCAUAUGUGGGUAGCAGCUUGCUUUUUAAAACAAAUGAAUAUUAAAUUUUAAAUCGAAGGGAAAUAAUCAUCUGGCAUUGUCCUGGUGGUGUCUUCUCCUCGUGGGCAGAGCGGCCUGGUGCACAGACAGCUGCAAGGGGAAAUGUUCUUUCAAGACUUUCAUGCUCAUCUCAGGGUUGAGGCAGACUUGACGUUAGAAAGCGAAAAGACUGUUAUGGUUACCCUCGAAAAAAUACUGUGUUCUCCACUCUUUGAAUCUGCCUGUCUAGCCUUUUUUUCGCAGUCACUUUAUAAAGCAGUGGGAGAGCAAGGUACAGACGCCAACUGAUCUCUCCUUAUGCAGGUCACAGCAAGGAUGCGGCUUGCUGAGCAACUUUCAGGAAGUGGCAAAGACCUGUUCUCUAUUUCCAGUGCAUGGGAAAUAAAAUGCAUGGUUCCACUGAGACGCAGUCACCUCUUCCCCGCCAGUUUAUAAGCGGGAAAACUGGCCUAGAGAGACGAGAGCUGGGCAUAGGUUCUCAGGCACAGUAGAAUAAGGUUAAACAGUUCAUAUACAGAACUUCUUACGUGUUGAGAAAUUAGUUUGAAGGUAUUGUUUAAAUUAUACCAAGUCCCUCACGUAUUAUGGGUAUUUUGAUCCUAGAAAUGAGGUAUGUUUCAUUUGGACAACAGUGUGCAGUUCUCAACAUAUUUAAGGAUUUAUUUCUAAGUGGGACUCAAAUAGAUAAGAACUUAUAGGUACGGUAACGUCCUCAGACGUUAUUUAUUACUGAAUAGGUCUCACACUGAAUUAACCAAGUUUAUCAUUUUAGUUUGUAAAAUACUGAACUGAUACCAUGUUUAAGAUUUCUGUAGCAACACAUCUAUUUUUAGCAUCUCAAUUUUUACCUUUACACAUCAAAUCCACUAAUAUGGAAUGGUGUGUGGAAGCCAAAAAACUGACAAUGGCAAUAGCUAGAAUUUGGCUAGAAAAUUUCACAGUACUGUGUCAUACGUGCAUUCUGCUUCUAAAUUAGUAACAUGAUAGAUGAAGAUGGUCACUGCCCCACCUGAGAAUAAAACAAAGUCAACAAGAACUAGAUGGCGACCAGGAAACAAAGACGCCAGAACCGCCGUCGUGACAACAUGCAGCUCCAGCCGAGGUCACUGAUUCUCUAGUAAGUUUUUAGAAGAGCACCCACAGGCCUGCAUUAGCACUGGGUCACGUGACCAGAGAGGGCGGGCGAACCGAUGACUAGGGCGUCCCCAGGGCAUUCCAGAGAUCCCCGCAUCAGUUACUGGUGCACACAUUCACUGGAGUUAUCUGAAAGCACCUGUAAAAUCUGGGCGAAAUUAGUUUUUAAAAAUAACCAAAAGUUACUUUCCCUGCAAAAUGCAUAAUUUCUUUAAAACGAUCUCUGAUGAAUUUCCCAUUGUUUUCAGAAGUCAUCUUCCACAAGACAACAAACCCUGGAUGAAUCUCGUUAGGAGGGCACUUUCCUUGUAACGAGAAGACUUUUAACUCUAAAUCUGCCUGAAAACUCUUUCCGGCAUUUGUGGAAAAAUCAUCUCUGGAAAAACUGCUAAAGCCCUAUUAUUUAUUAGUCAUUGCCAUUAGUUUACUUUUAGGUAAAUGGUAAAUGAUUUAACAUUAUAUUACACUUUCAUACUAUAGAUUAUAAACUAUAAGAAACUAAUUUCUGAAAAAAUAUAUUCAUUCAUGACAACCAAUUCUGAAUUUGUAUUUGAAAGUAUGACCGACCACACAAUGUUAGUUCAUUUAUAGUCAACAUGUCUUUGUGGCUGCUGAAGUUGAGUUUAUAAUUUAAAUAUUAAUAUAUUUUAAAUUGGAAAAGCUUCCCUUCUGAAAAGGACUUUGCAUAUAAAUAUUUUUGUUUUUUGGUUUAAAAAUAAUCACCUUCCUGAAAACUAACCUUAGCUUCUAUUUAACAGUAAUAUAUAUUUUUUUCCUCUCAAAAUGUCAGGCUAGAUCAUUUGUAUGAAUGACUAUUAGUAUUUGUUUUCAACCUGACAACAUGAUGGAUUCAGAGAUGCCUAUUAGAUAGAACAGACUUUUAUCUUAAUCUAUUUUAUAAGGUUGCCCUUCUAGAUAGCAGACCCCAAAUAUGCAUACAAUUUAGGCUGUUUUCAUGUGUCGUUACCAUAGGUCUUUGAGGUCGAUAAUGCAGGCAAAUUCUCAUUGUAGCUGUAUACUAUGAAAAAUCUGGUAAUGAAAUGUAGACUUAAACUUUCACUAACGUUUACACUUUUUACUGAGAUGGAUCGUGGAUCACAAAUUAAGACACUUCUGAAUUUAGAGCCUGCAAGUAAGUUCUGGGCCUGCUGUUAGUGCUAUGUUUAACGGCAGUCACUGAACAUGAGAGGAGUUUCCUGUAUAACAUCUUUAUUGCUAAAAUUAUUUUAAAACAUGUAGUUAUUUUUAAAGACUAAGUAGUAAUUAGAACAAAUUAUUGAAAAUUAGGAAAAUUCUAAGCUGAGAUUUAAUAACCACAUAACAGAAAUCUAAAUCCUAGAAGCCUAAGUUAGUAAGUUUGCUACAAAGUAAAGCUUCAUAUUAAGGAAUGUGUCGUGUUUAGGUAUUUUUUCUCACCGCCUCUGAAAAGGAAACUGGCUUGAGAACAUUAAAAUUAUAAUAACCAAUAAGAGAAUAAAAUUCAGCUUAAGUUUCAAAGCUAAAAUAAGUAUU